GACGAACGCUGGCGGCGUGCUUAACACAUGCGAGUCGAACGGAAAGGCCCUGCUUUUGUGGGGUGCUCGAUUGGCGAACGGGUGAGUAACACGUGAGUAACCUGCCCUUGACUUUGGGAUAACUUCAGGAAACUGGGGCUAAUACCGGAUAGGAGCUCCUGCUGCAUGGUGGGGGUUGGAAAGUUUCGGCGGUUGGGGAUGGACUCGCGGCUUAUCAGCUUGUUGGUGGGGUAGUGGCUUACCAAGGCUUUGACGGGUAGCCGGCCUGAGAGGGUGACCGGCCACAUUGGGACUGAGAUACGGCCCAGACUCCUACGGGAGGCAGCAGUGGGGAAUAUUGCACAAUGGGCGGAAGCCUGAUGCAGCAACGCCGCGUGCGGGAUGACGGCCUUCGGGUUGUAAACCGCUUUCGCCUGUGACGAAGCGUGAGUGACGGUAAUGGGUAAAGAAGCACCGGCUAACUACGUG
RNAcentral lists this ribosomal RNA (468 nucleotides) under uncultured bacterium. Its description in RNAcentral is "partial 16S ribosomal RNA". It matches the Rfam family "Bacterial small subunit ribosomal RNA", at positions 28 to 507 of the family's 1533-position model. The record is from RNAcentral.